CCUCAUAACAACUUUAUUAGUGAGGCACUAUUAUCACCAUUUUACAGAUUAAGCAACUGAUGGUCAAGACUCUUAAAGUUAU
This 82-nucleotide microRNA precursor is filed under the name Cricetulus griseus (Chinese hamster). Its description in RNAcentral is "mir-640". The record is from RNAcentral. Lineage: Eukaryota; Metazoa; Chordata; Mammalia; Rodentia; Cricetidae.